AGUGAACGCUGGCGGUAGGCCUAACACAUGCAAGUCGAACGGCAGCACAGUAAGAGCUUGCUCUUACGGGUGGCGAGUGGCGGACGGGUGAGGAAUACAUCGGAAUCUACUUUUUCGUGGGGGAUAACGUAGGGAAACUUACGCUAAUACCGCAUACGACCUACGUGUGAAAGCAGGGGAUCUUCUGACCUUGCGCGAUUGAAUGAGCCGAUGUCGGAUUAGCUAGUUGGCGGGGUAAAGGCCCACCAAGGCGACGAUCCGUAGCUGGUCUGAGAGGAUGAUCAGCCACACUGGAACUGAGGCACGGUCCAGACUCCUACGGGAGGAAGCGGUGGGGAAUAUUGGGCAAUGGGCGCAAGCCUGAUCCAGCCAUACCGCGUGAGUGAAGAAGGCCUUCGGGUUGUAAAGCCCUUUUGUUGUGAAAGAAAAGCAGCAGGUUAAUACCCCGCUGUUCUGACGGUACCCAAAGAAUAAGCACCGGCUAACUUCGUG
RNAcentral lists this ribosomal RNA (492 nucleotides) under uncultured bacterium. Its description in RNAcentral is "partial 16S ribosomal RNA". It matches the Rfam family "Bacterial small subunit ribosomal RNA", at positions 29 to 507 of the family's 1533-position model. The record is from RNAcentral.